GCCUAAAGAGAAGCUUGCGGCUGAUUAGCUUGUUGGUGAGGUAAUGGCUCACCAAGGCGACGAUCAGUAUCUGGUUUGAGAGGAUGAUCAGACACACUGGAACUGAGACACGGUCCAGACUCCUACGGGAGGCAGCAGUGGGGAAUUUUCCGCAAUGGGCGAAAGCCUGACGGAGCAAUCUCGCGUGAGGGAUGACGGCCUAUGGGUUGUAAACCUCUUUUUUCAGGGAGGAACAAAAUGACGUGUACCUGAAGAAUAAGCAUCGGCUAACUCCGUGCCAGCAGCCGCGGUAAGACGGAGGAUGCAAGUGUUAUCCGGAAUCACUGGGCGUAAAGCGUCUGUAGGUGGUUUGAUAAGUCAACUGUUAAAUCUUGAAGCUCAACUUCAAAAUCGCAGUCGAAACUAUUAGACUAGAGUAUAGUAGGGGUAAAGGGAAUUCCCAGUGGAGCGGUGAAAUGCGUAGAUAUUG
This 469-nucleotide ribosomal RNA is filed under the name uncultured diatom. Its description in RNAcentral is "SSU rRNA". It matches the Rfam family "Bacterial small subunit ribosomal RNA", at positions 217 to 699 of the family's 1533-position model. The record is from RNAcentral. Lineage: Eukaryota; Bacillariophyta.